CACAAGGUGGCGCUGUGCUCCCGGCUUGGUCUCUGCCGGGUCCGGUGUCGCCUGGCCGCCCCCUGACCGCCCCCGCCCGUCCACCGACCCGUUUGUCCCGCGUCUCCUGUUACGAGUGGGGACCAGCGAUUCAGCGGAUGUUCAGUCCUUCCACAGACAGUUAUUAAGCGCCUGCUGUGUGCCGGGCAGCACGGGAUGGGCAGGGCCACGUGAGACAUUUGCCACUGGGGGCCCCUCCCUCCGUGAAAAAAUGUGACAGCUGAUCUUGCGCGACUGCACUGGGGUUCUUUUAUUUCUCUUUUUCUCCUGAUUUUGAGACAUUAAAAUGAAGCCAUUCUGUGGGUCCCUCAGAGUGUCACGGGCCCUGGGUCUCCUGUGUCUGAUGGAUGAGCCGGCUCUGGUGACCAGGUGAGGAAACUGAGGCCCAGAGACUCAGAUGAAGACUCGAGCCCGCAAGGCCAGCACAGCCCCUCCGCUCCACUGGUACACAGCCCCCUUGUCACAAUCAGGCCUGCAGGGGCUGUGCUGGCUCCGCCCUCCCGGGUCCCCAUCCCGGCUCGGUCACUCACUGAUGCCGAGGGAGCCCGGCCAGCGAUGUCACCUCCUCCGCUCUGCAUCUCUGCGCUGGGUCCCUUCCUUCUUAGCCAGAGCAGUAAAGGCUGUGGUUCUGGGAGGAACAGAGCUUUCCAUCUCCCCAAACUGCAGCUCUGUCCCCAUGACACACUGACUCCCACCCCUCCCCCAGCCCCUGGCCCCCCAUCCACUUUCUGUCUCUGUGGAUGUGGCUCCUCUGGGGACCUCCUGUGAGUGGACCACACAGUGUGUGUCCCUCUGUGUCUGGCUCACGUCCCUGAGCAUCACAUCCUCAGGUCCAUCCACGUGGGAGCAGGUGUCAGGAUCUCCUUCCUUUUUUUUUUUUGGUCAUCAAAGGCGUCGAGGCCUCCUUGCGCCCUGUCUUGGAUCACUUGCUCCAGUGGAAGCCAGCUGCCAUGUUGUGAAGACACCUGAGAAGCCCACGGACAAGGAACGGAGGCCUCCCGCCAACAACCAUGGGAAGGAGCCAUCUGAGAAGUGGAUUCUCCAGGCCCCGUGGACCUGUUAUCACAAUCGCCUUUUGAAAAGCUCUCUCUCUGGCUGCUGUGUGGAGAAUGGACUGUAGGGGGCAGGAGUGGAUGGAGCUGGCUUGGAAAGUGGCUACUGCAAUGGUCCAGGCAUGCAUGGAUGGUGUCCUGGAUUUGGGUGGCGGCAGGGGACAUGGAUGAAGUGGAUGGGUUUAGUGGUUAUUUAGGAAGCAACACAAAUGGGACUUGGGACAAUGAAAGGUCGUUGAUGUCCCGCAGGUGGGGCCUUCCUUGCAACAGGGAGCUGAGGAAGGAGCAAGUGGAGGUAGAGAUGGGGGAAGAGGAGAUGACGAGUUUAGCUGAGGCCACCUUGAGUCUCUGUUCCUCAAAUGUCCAAGGGGCCACCAUAAAUGUAGCUCCUUGUCUGAUAAGAGUAGACUACAGACUCAAGCUGGGGUGAAUGUGCGCACCCGCGGGACACUUGGCAAUAUCUGGGACAUUUUGGGGUGUCACACCUUGAGGGCCAGUGGGGGGGCAGGUAGUGCUGCUGACGUCUCAUGGGUAAGAGCUGAAGAUGGUAGUCAGCAUCCUGUAAUGCACGGGACCAUCCCCCCUAAAAGGAACGAUCGGACCCCAAAUGUCAAUAGUGCCGAGGUGGAGAAACCCUAAGAUAGACCAAUGGCUGGAAUAAACAAUUCCCAGUUUCAAUAAAGUUUUAUUCGUCGUGUA
This is a long non-coding RNA of Equus quagga, 1790 nucleotides long. RefSeq lists it as uncharacterized. The record is from RefSeq and is a predicted model, not a curated record. The transcript has 2 exons. NCBI's taxonomy places the organism in Eukaryota, Metazoa, Chordata, Mammalia, Perissodactyla, Equidae.